AAGUUAAGCCCUCCAGCGCCGAUGGUACUUGGGGCGAGAGCCCCUGGGAGAGUAGGACAUCGCCGGGC
Molecule: ribosomal RNA, 68 nt
Filed under: Bacillota bacterium
Lineage: Bacteria; Bacillati; Bacillota
Source: RNAcentral